RNAcentral lists this unclassified non-coding RNA (326 nucleotides) under fungal sp. Its description in RNAcentral is "partial internal transcribed spacer region". The stretch from base 1 to 46 matches the Rfam family "Eukaryotic small subunit ribosomal RNA", at positions 1786 to 1831 of the family's 1831-position model. The record is from RNAcentral. Lineage: Eukaryota; Fungi.
AAGUCGUAACAAGGUCUCCGUAGGUGAACCUGCGGAGGGAUCAUUAACACGUGUAAAAACGUAUUUUAAAAUAACCCUAACCUAACAACCAAUACCGUGAACUAUGUUAUAAUAUUUUAUUUUAUUAUACCUUUUUUUGACUUUUAUGUUUUACUAGUAACAUAGUAACUCAUGAUAGAUGAAAAAAACAAACCCUUUUCCAACCUUUAUUUUUUUCUAUCUGUUUGUUAUAUAUAUGUUUCUUUAUGAGAUCAUAUAUAUAUAAUAACAACAUAAUAUAAAAAAAAUACAAAGCACAACUCUUAGCAACGGAUAUCUUGGUUCUC